CUAAAUAUGAUAUAUAUAUAGCAUGCAUUUAAAUUUGAAAUUUAAACUUCUACAGUAAAUGUUUUACUAUUAUGUAUUCAGAAUACAUUACCUUCGUGCAGAUAGUCGAUCGUUAUAGUCUGAUCACCAUCGAAAAGGUCUGAUCAUCAUAAUAUAGCCACACAGUAUGUUUGGCCUCUGUGGAUCAUCCACAUGAAGCUUCCAGUCUGAUCGGCUCCUCACG
RNAcentral lists this long non-coding RNA (223 nucleotides) under Elaeis guineensis (African oil palm). RNAcentral's name for it is "long non-coding RNA (EGUI_LNC053756)". Lineage: Eukaryota; Viridiplantae; Streptophyta; Magnoliopsida; Arecales; Arecaceae. The record is from RNAcentral.